GAUGACAGCAUCAUAAAGGGAAAGCUUUUGAUAGUGCCAUCUGUCAAACUGCCAUGCUAUAACCUUCCUCCUCAGGCUUCCAGUCUCUUUUGCUUUGCAUUCUGACACCAUGCUGGGGUACCAGAUGACACCAAGUGAAGAAAUCCACACAAGAAGGAUCAUCUGAAGGAGAGAAAUCCAAGCAAAAUUCCAGGAACUUGUACCAGGGAGCCUGCUCCAGGUAUGCUGCUGACUGCUGCUUGCCACCAACAUCCCAUGGAGUCUACCUGUUCCUCUACACUUCAAGUGUGUAGCAGCCAGAGUGCA
Neopsephotus bourkii (Bourke's parrot) is the source of this 306-nucleotide long non-coding RNA. RefSeq lists it as uncharacterized. The transcript has 3 exons. The record is from RefSeq and is a predicted model, not a curated record. Lineage: Eukaryota; Metazoa; Chordata; Aves; Psittaciformes; Psittacidae.